GAUGAAGAACGCAGCGAAAUGCGAUAAGUAAUGUGAAUUGCAGAAUUCAGUGAAUCAUCGAAUCUUUGAACGCACAUUGCGCCCGCCAGUAUUCUGGCGGGCAUGCCUGUUCGAGCGUCAUUUCAACCCUCAGGCCCCGCCUGGCGUUGGGGAUCGGCGCGGCCCUCUCCGGGCUGCCGGCCCCGAAAACUAGUGGCGGUCUCGCUGUAGUCCUCCUCUGCGCAGUAGCAACGCUCGCACUGGAACUCGGCGCGGCCACGCCGUAAAACACCCCACUUCCGAAAGUUGACCUCGGAUCAGGUAGGAAUACCCGCUGAACUUAAGCAUAUCAAUAAGCGGAGGA
This 343-nucleotide unclassified non-coding RNA is filed under the name soil metagenome. RNAcentral describes it as "partial contains 5.8S ribosomal RNA, internal transcribed spacer 2, and large subunit ribosomal RNA". The stretch from base 1 to 120 matches the Rfam family "5.8S ribosomal RNA", at positions 35 to 154 of the family's 154-position model. The record is from RNAcentral.